GCCAGGUAUGGUGGUGCAUGCCUGUAAUCCCAGCUACUUGGGAGGCUGAGGCAAGAGAAUCACUUGAACCUGGGAGCUGGAGGUUGCAGUGAGCCAAGAUCAUGCCAAUGCACUCCAGCCUGGGCAACAGAGUGAGACUUUGUCUCAA
Molecule: non-coding RNA, 148 nt
Organism: Chlorocebus sabaeus (green monkey)
Lineage: Eukaryota; Metazoa; Chordata; Mammalia; Primates; Cercopithecidae
Rfam family: Metazoan signal recognition particle RNA
About the family: The signal recognition particle (SRP) is a universally conserved ribonucleoprotein. It is involved in the co-translational targeting of proteins to membranes.
Source: Rfam